RNAcentral lists this ribosomal RNA (618 nucleotides) under uncultured bacterium. Its description in RNAcentral is "bacterial SSU rRNA". It matches the Rfam family "Bacterial small subunit ribosomal RNA", at positions 338 to 944 of the family's 1533-position model. The record is from RNAcentral.
CCUACGGGAGGCAGCAGUGGGGAAUUUUGGACAAUGGGCGAAAGCCUGAUCCAGCAAUGCCGCGUGCAGGAAGAAGGCCUUCGGGUUGUAAACUGCUUUUGUACGGAACGAAACGGUCUGCUUUAAUACAGUGGGCUAAUGACGGUACCGUAAGAAUAAGCACCGGCUAACUACGUGCCAGCAGCCGCGGUAAUACGUAGGGUGCGAGCGUUAAUCGGAAUUACUGGGCGUAAAGCGUGCGCAGGCGGUUAUAUAAGACAGUUGUGAAAUCCCCGGGCUCAACCUGGGAAUUGCAUUUGUGACUGUAUAGCUAGAGUACGGUAGAGGGGGAUGGAAUUCCGCGUGUAGCAGUGAAAUGCGUAGAUAUGCGGAGGAACACCGAUGGCGAAGGCAAUCCCCUGGACCUGUACUGACGCUCAUGCACGAAAGCGUGGGGAGCAAACAGGAUUAGAUACCCUGGUAGUCCACGCCCUAAACGAUGUCAACUGGUUGUUGGGUGCAUUAGUACUCAGUAACGAAGCUAACGCGUGAAGUUGACCGCCUGGGGAGUACGGCCGCGAAGGUUGAAACGUCAAAUUAGAGUUGNGNGNGAGAGNGCGAGCGACGACGAGGAGGAGG